RNAcentral lists this ribosomal RNA (506 nucleotides) under uncultured bacterium. RNAcentral's name for it is "partial 16S ribosomal RNA". It matches the Rfam family "Bacterial small subunit ribosomal RNA", at positions 29 to 523 of the family's 1533-position model. The record is from RNAcentral.
AGUGAACGCUGGCGGUAGGCCUAACACAUGCAAGUCGAACGGCAGCACAGGAGAGCUUGCUCUCUGGGUGGCGAGUGGCGGACGGGUGAGGAAUACAUCGGAAUCUACUCUGUCGUGGGGGAUAACGUAGGGAAACUUACGCUAAUACCGCAUACGACCUACGGGUGAAAGCAGGGGACCUUCGGGCCUUGCGCGAUUGAAUGAGCCGAUGUCGGAUUAGCUAGUUGGCGGGGUAAAGGCCCCCCAAGGCGAAGAUCCGUAGCUGGUCUGAGAGGAUGAACAGCCACACUGGCACAGAGACACGGUGCAGACUCCGACGGGAUGCAGCAGUGGGGAAGAUUGGACAAUGGGCGCAAGCCUGAUCCAGCCAUACCGCGUGGGUGAAGAAGGCCUUCGGGUUGUAAAGCCCUUUUGUUGGUAAAGAAGUCCAGCUGGCUAAUACCCGGUUGGGAUGACGGUACCCAAAGAAUAAGCACCGGCUAACUUCGUGCCAGCAGCCGCCGUAA